Molecule: non-coding RNA, 45 nt
Filed under: Trichobilharzia regenti
Lineage: Eukaryota; Metazoa; Platyhelminthes; Trematoda; Strigeidida; Schistosomatidae
Source: RNAcentral
AUCCAGCCGACAAGUCUCAAAUAGGACGAAAUCUGCAUCCUGGAU